This 253-nucleotide ribosomal RNA is filed under the name uncultured bacterium. Its description in RNAcentral is "partial 16S ribosomal RNA". It matches the Rfam family "Bacterial small subunit ribosomal RNA", at positions 524 to 776 of the family's 1533-position model. The record is from RNAcentral.
GACGUAGGGCGCGAGCGUUGUCCGGAUUUAUUGGGCGUAAAGAGCUCGUAGGCGGCUUGUCGCGUCGACUGUGAAAACCCGCGGCUCAACCGCGGGCCUGCAGUCGAUACGGGCAGGCUAGAGUUCGGUAGGGGAGACUGGAAUUCCUGGUGUAGCGGUGAAAUGCGCAGAUAUCAGGAGGAACACCGGUGGCGAAGGCGGUGCUCUGGGCCGGUACUGACGCUGAGGAGCGAAAGCGUGGGUAGCAAACAGG